Molecule: ribosomal RNA, 492 nt
Filed under: uncultured bacterium
Lineage: Bacteria
Description: partial 16S ribosomal RNA
Rfam family: Bacterial small subunit ribosomal RNA
Source: RNAcentral
AUUGAACGCUGGCGGCAUGCUUUACACAUGCAAGUCGAACGGUAACAGGCCUUCGGGUGCUGACGAGUGGCGAACGGGGGAGUAAUGCAUCGGAACGUGCCCAGAGGUGGGGGAUAACGCAGCAAAAGCUGUGCUAAUACCGCAUGUGAUCUGAGGAUGAAAGCGGGGGACCAAGCAGCAAUGUUUGGCCUCGCGCCUCUGGAGCGGCCGAUGUCAGAUUAGGUAGUUGGUGGGGUAAAGGCCUACCAAGCCGACGAUCUGUAGCUGGUCUGAGAGGACGACCAGCCACACUGGAACUGAGACACGGCCCAGACUCCUACGGGAGGCAGCAGUGGGGAAUUUUGGACAAUGGGCGCAAGCCUGAUCCAGCAAUGCCGCGUGAGGGAAGAAGGCCUUCGGGUUGUAAAACGCUUUUGUACGGAACGAAAAGGCUCUGGCUAAUACCUGGGGAUGAUGACGGUACCGUAAGAAUAAGCACCGGCUAACUACGUG